AUGGCGGACGAUGGAGGAGGUGGCGGCGAUGAGCACCUUCUCCAGAUAACUGUUGGGGGCGCCGGGCAAGGCAAGGUCGACCCGCCGGAGAAGCGGCUGAAUCGCUUCGUUCGUGCCGUCGUGCUGAUCGAGAGAGUGGGCAAUGCGCUUGGUACGCUGGCAUUCACGUGGGCCACCGUGGUCCUGCUCGGCGGCUACGCCAGUAAACUCCACUCCGAUGAUGAUUUUAGUUUCGGGACAAUCUUGAUUCUCCUAGAGGCCGCAAGCCAGAUUGUUUACAAUAGCAUGAGAAAUAAAGUCAUGGAUAUUAGAUUCCUAGAACAAACACAUGUUGCAAGAGAAAACAUAGACAUGGGUGUCGUGACUGUUGGGGCUGGUGCAUCAAGUACAAGUGCAGCUAUGGUACAAACACAUGAAAUUGGUGGCCAAGCCGUGGCACUCCAUGGCUCAGUGAACGGACAACCAGGGAAGUCCAAAGGCAGCAGUUGCUGCAACCUAGCAAGCGGGGUGGGAUGCAACUCAGAAACAGAAAGCAGCAGCGCGGAAGGAGUUUCAUGCGGAGGCAUGCCUGGAGGUGAUGGGCUUGGCUCAUUGGCUUGUACGCAGGAAAGGCAGCAACCGCCUAAGCAGGCUACGAGACCCCUCAUGCAUGCCCACGCGCUAAGGAUGAGCAUGCAUUAG
Molecule: ribosomal RNA, 681 nt
Filed under: Triticum aestivum (bread wheat)
Lineage: Eukaryota; Viridiplantae; Streptophyta; Magnoliopsida; Poales; Poaceae
Description: partial small subunit ribosomal RNA
Source: RNAcentral